UUGGUCGGUCUUGGGGGAUUGAUUGGCGCGCAGUCCAGGAGGGGUCCGGGAAAGAAGCCGCUGGCAGGGCAGCGUGGUACACCGGGUAGUCGCGAGCGGUCUGCGGCGGCAGAGACCCCACCAGCCAGGGGAGCAGCACGGCCUCGGGGGCCCCCAGCCGCCACCAACCCUCUGUUGCCGCCACCACCCGGCCGGACACCACCAGACUGACGAAGGCCGUGCCCGCGGCCUCAGCGAACCCGGAGAGGGCUUCCUGGGAGAACCAAGAGGCCGGGUUGAAGACGACGACUGCGCCAAGGCCUGCCUAUACGCCAUCCUGUAGGCUUUGAUGAUUUACAUUCUAAACGGAAAAAAACAGUGUGCCGCGAUCAAAGACUGCGACGAUCCCAAGGCGUUGCCUAGCAACCACAUUCCGUCUAGGUUUCCAUUUUGUAGCAGUAAACAGUGUGCCCUACUCAAAGAUGGCGGCACAUCGAAGUCCGACCACCCUCCUUCGGGCGAAAUCGAGAAAAACACCGUCUCCCCUCCCAACCUUCGAGGGUGGUUGAGUCCGGCGAGCGUUGCCUAGUAACCACCAAAAUAGACGGUUGUUUUUGUUAUUAGAAAAAAGAAAACAAGGAAAUCCUUUAUCUUCCAGAAUAAUAAAAAUAACAUUAUUUGUGCAGUGAAUUAUGCAUGGUAACAUACCAUAUACAAUGUGAAGAUAUCCCAGCCCCAAUUUUUUCCCUAAAAUACAGUUUAACGUAGAAUAUUGAUGUUUUCACAAAUAAUUAUUAGUAUAUUAACAUUUCCAUAUUUUCUUUUUUCCCAUAAAAAGCGUGUGUUUCAUCUUAAUAAUGUACUUUUAUAAUCUAUUUUAUGGUUAUAACAAAUUGAUUUGACCAAUUCUGUACUGAUGUACAUUAGGUUGUUGAACGCCUCCAGACUAAGCAGCUAGUGCUGGCCAACUAGUGACUUUUUAAGAUGCCCUUAUAAAUAUUUUUCUUAUGCUAUACAGGUAGUGUUUACUUGCAAUUAUAAAUGUGUUUAUGAUUCAUUUUGCCCUUCUUCUUCCUUCUUGCAAAUCAAUCUAUCUUUCUAGCAUAAUUUUUAAUUUUCCUACUUCC
Long non-coding RNA from Saimiri boliviensis boliviensis (Bolivian squirrel monkey), 1106 nucleotides. RefSeq lists it as uncharacterized. The record is from RefSeq and is a predicted model, not a curated record. Lineage: Eukaryota; Metazoa; Chordata; Mammalia; Primates; Cebidae.